UGAUAAGAAAAGGAAUUGAACCUCUAUUAAUAGGACUACAGCCUACCACCUUAACACUCGGCCAUCUUACC
This 71-nucleotide transfer RNA is filed under the name Diploglossus pleii. RNAcentral's name for it is "tRNA-Tyr". Lineage: Eukaryota; Metazoa; Chordata; Lepidosauria; Squamata; Diploglossidae. The record is from RNAcentral.